This 650-nucleotide ribosomal RNA is filed under the name uncultured bacterium. RNAcentral describes it as "bacterial SSU rRNA". It matches the Rfam family "Bacterial small subunit ribosomal RNA", at positions 57 to 702 of the family's 1533-position model. The record is from RNAcentral.
GCAAGUCGAACGGCAGCACGGACUUCGGUCUGGUGGCGAGUGGCGAACGGGUGAGUAAUGUAUCGGAACGUACCUUUCAGUGGGGGAUAACGUAGCGAAAGUUACGCUAAUACCGCAUAUUCUGUGAGCAGGAAAGCAGGGGAUCGCAAGACCUUGCGCUGAUUGAGCGGCCGAUAUCAGAUUAGCUAGUUGGUGGGGUAAAGGCCUACCAAGGCUACGAUCUGUAGCGGGUCUGAGAGGAUGAUCCGCCACACUGGGACUGAGACACGGCCCAGACUCCUACGGGAGGCAGCAGUGGGGAAUUUUGGACAAUGGGGGCAACCCUGAUCCAGCCAUGCCGCGUGAGUGAAGAAGGCCUUCGGGUUGUAAAGCUCUUUCGGCCGGGAAGAAAUCGCAUCAGCUAAUACCUGGUGUGGAUGACGGUACCGGAAUAAGAAGCACCGGCUAACUACGUGCCAGCAGCCGCGGUAAUACGUAGGGUGCGAGCGUUAAUCGGAAUUACUGGGCGUAAAGCGUGCGCAGGCGGUUGUGUAAGACAGGCGUGAAAUCCCCGGGCUCAACCUGGGAACUGCGCUUGUGACUGCACAGCUAGAGUACGGCAGAGGGGGGUGGAAUUCCACGUGUAGCAGUGAAAUGCGUAAAGAUGUGGA